AUCCAGCUGACGAGUCCCAAAUAGGACGAAAUGUGUGCUAUCCUGGAU
This 48-nucleotide non-coding RNA is filed under the name Trichobilharzia regenti. The record is from RNAcentral. Lineage: Eukaryota; Metazoa; Platyhelminthes; Trematoda; Strigeidida; Schistosomatidae.